UACGUAGGGGGCAAGCGUUGUCCGGAUUUAUUGGGCGUAAAGAGCGUGUAGGCGGCUUUACAGGUCCGUUGUGAAAACUCGAGGCUCAACCUCGAGACGCCGGUGGAAACCGUAAGGCUAGAGUCCGGAAGAGGAGAGUGGAAUUCCUGGUGUAGCGGUGAAAUGCGUAGAUAUCAGGAGGAACACCGGUGGUGUAGACGGCUCUCUGGACCGUAACUGACGCUGAGACACGAAAGCGUGGGUAGCAAACAGG
RNAcentral lists this ribosomal RNA (253 nucleotides) under uncultured bacterium. RNAcentral describes it as "partial 16S ribosomal RNA". It matches the Rfam family "Bacterial small subunit ribosomal RNA", at positions 524 to 776 of the family's 1533-position model. The record is from RNAcentral.